GACGAACGCUGGCGGCGUGCCUAAUACAUGCAAGUAGAACGCACAGUUUAUACCGUAGCUUGCUACACCAUAGACUGUGAGUUGCGAACGGGUGAGUAACGCGUAGGUAACCUGCCUGGUAGCGGGGGAUAACUAUUGGAAACGAUAGCUAAUACCGCAUAAUAUUGAUUAUUGCAUGAUAAUUGAUUGAAAGAUGCUAUUGCAUCACUACCAGAUGGACCUGCGUUGUAUUAGCUAGUAGGUGAGGUAACGGCUCACCUAGGCGACGAUACAUAGCCGACCUGAGAGGGUGAUCGGCCACACUGGGACUGAGACACGGCCCAGACUCCUACGGGAGGCAGCAGUAGGGAAUCUUCGGCAAUGGACGAAAGUCUGACCGAGCAACGCCGCGUGAGUGAAGUAGGUUUUCGGAUCGUAAAGCUCUGUUGUAAGAGAAGAACGGGUGUGAGAGUGGAAAGUUCACACUGUGACGGUAUCUUACCAGAAAGGGACGGCUAACUACGUG
RNAcentral lists this ribosomal RNA (505 nucleotides) under uncultured bacterium. Its description in RNAcentral is "partial 16S ribosomal RNA". It matches the Rfam family "Bacterial small subunit ribosomal RNA", at positions 28 to 507 of the family's 1533-position model. The record is from RNAcentral.